Molecule: ribosomal RNA, 301 nt
Filed under: uncultured bacterium
Lineage: Bacteria
Description: partial 16S ribosomal RNA
Rfam family: Bacterial small subunit ribosomal RNA
Source: RNAcentral
CAGCAGCCGCGGUAAAACGAAGGGUGCAAGCGUUAAUCGGAAUUACUGGGCGUAAAGCGUGCGUAGGCGGUUUGUUAAGUCUGCUGUGAAAUCCCCGGGCUCAACCUGGGAAUGGCAGUGGAUACUGGCAAGCUAGAGUGUGUCAGAGGAUGGUGGAAUUCCCGGUGUAGCGGUGAAAUGCGUAGAGAUCGGGAGGAACAUCAGUGGCGAAGGCGGCCAUCUGGGACAACACUGACGCUGAGGCACGAAAGCGUGGGGAGCAAACAGGAUUAGAUACCCCGGUAGUACCUGUCUCUUAUAC